RNAcentral lists this ribosomal RNA (219 nucleotides) under uncultured Thalassobacillus sp. RNAcentral describes it as "partial 16S ribosomal RNA". It matches the Rfam family "Bacterial small subunit ribosomal RNA", at positions 505 to 723 of the family's 1533-position model. Lineage: Bacteria; Bacillati; Bacillota; Bacilli; Caryophanales; Bacillaceae. The record is from RNAcentral.
GUGCCAGCCGCGGCGGUAAUACGUAGGUGGCAAGCGUUGUCCGGAAUUAUUGGGCGUAAAGCGCGCGCAGGCGGUUCCUUAAGUCUGAUGUGAAAGCCCACGGCUCAACCGUGGAGGGUCAUUGGAAACUGGGGAACUUGAGUACAGAAGAGGAGAGUGGAAUUCCACGUGUAGCGGUGAAAUGCGUAGAUAUGUGGAGGAACACCAGUGGCGAAGGCG